RNA transcript from Rana temporaria (common frog), 1238 nucleotides. It is a transcript of the gene named G protein-coupled receptor 37 like 1, with no coding region annotated. Lineage: Eukaryota; Metazoa; Chordata; Amphibia; Anura; Ranidae. The record is from RefSeq and is a predicted model, not a curated record. The transcript is spliced from 2 exons.
GACUAUCUCGCCAGCUGGUGACAGUAUAACCCUUCUUCUGUGCCAACGGGCACACAAAAUAUCCACAGCUCUGCCAGCUUUUGAGUGCGCACCUAGAUCAUCUGUAUUUGCUAGUUGGUAAGAAGACCAGCUAGAGCUUAAUUUAGCAGAUUAAAUAUAUACACAUAUGUCUUUCCAUGAGCUUCUCCAUAAGUGAGCAUGCAUAUAUAAAAGCACUUUAUCUGCAUUUUACAUAGUUCAGUUCAGUUUGCUUCCCUUUCAGUCCCCUCAGUUUUGCAGUUGCUACAAUUGCAAACGAGUCUCUGUGGCCAGAGGGGCCAGUAUGGGUUUUAAACUGAGUCCUUGCAAAGAACUAAGUUAGCAAUUAAACACAGGUGUAGCAGAUUAGAUGAAAAUAUCCUUGCACUGUGCCUUUAAAUUAACCCCUUACAGAGUCCUGCUUAGUUGCCGGGUACAGACAGGACAGGGAGGAAGAAAAAAAAAAGAAGAAGGGGGAAACAGACUCUGGGUUCAGUCCUUACAACAGUUGUUAUACAGUAGUACCUCCCUUUUCUGCUCCUCUGAUGUCCCUUUGAACUUGGGGGUACUCCAGGAGAUUCUCUGCCUGUCUUUAUCACGGCUCCUGUUUCCUCUCACUCCUGUAUAGCAAGGAACAAAUACAGUGGGGAGGGGGGGGGGAGUUGACCCGCUGGAAAGACAGAUAGGGUUGUUUCUAUUAUUGCUUCAGUGCUUUUGAGUUAAUGUUUUACAACCUCCCAGCAUAAAUCACUCCAUUGAAUUCACCGCUGGCCUCUCACAGCAUAAGAACCACACAAUCCAACAUUGCAGUGUUAUUAUACGUUUUUGUUUUUUUACUUUUUUAAGCUUUUUAGACAUAGUUCAGAAAAACAGCUCCUUUCUUCUUCCCUCGUAUAUCACAUUUCACAGUGUUGCAGCUGCUUUGUUUACUAUUGACUUAACGGCUGAUAAUUUUCCUCUCUUGCUCUUUACCUUUCUCCUAUCUCCUCGCUUACCUCCUACGUGCUGGCCGUGCUGGCCGCAUGUGUCUCUCUUUUCUUUUCCUGCUCUCCCUUCACUGAGGGGGGUUGGGGAGGGGGAGAAAGCCUGCUGAAGAGACGGAUGAGGAGAUGGAUGGGAGCCCGCUACGUCCAGGAUUAUCUCUGCAGUCUCUGGUUCUCUGCAGCCUCUGGUUUCUUCAUUUGGAGUCUCCACAUUCUCUCUUUGUGCUCUGGGUAUUG